RNAcentral lists this ribosomal RNA (451 nucleotides) under uncultured bacterium. Its description in RNAcentral is "bacterial SSU rRNA". It matches the Rfam family "Bacterial small subunit ribosomal RNA", at positions 354 to 796 of the family's 1533-position model. The record is from RNAcentral.
GUCGGGAAUUUUGGGCAAUGGGCGAAAGCCUGACCCAGCAACGCCGCGUGAGGGAUGAAGGCCUUCGGGUCGUAAACCUCUGUCGGGAGGGAAGAACGUUCCCGGGGUGAACAAUCCCGGGGGCUGACGGUACCUCUAGAGGAAGCGCCGGCUAACUCCGUGCCAGCAGCCGCGGUAAUACGGAGGGCGCAAGCGUUGUUCGGAAUCAUUGGGCGUAAAGCGCGUGUAGGCGGCUUGGCAAGUCGAGUGUGAAAGCCCGGGGCUCAACCCCGGAAGGUCGCUCGAAACUGCCUCGCUCGAGUCCCGGAGAGGAAGGCGGAAUUCCCGGUGUAGAGGUGAAAUUCGUAGAUAUCGGGAGGAACACCAGCGGCGAAGGCGGCCUUCUGGACGGUGACUGACGCUGAGACGCGAAAGCGUGGGGAGCAAACAGGAUUAGAUACCCGAGUAGUCC